This 288-nucleotide long non-coding RNA is filed under the name Brassica napus (rape). Its description in RNAcentral is "long non-coding RNA (BNAP_LNC023069)". The record is from RNAcentral. Lineage: Eukaryota; Viridiplantae; Streptophyta; Magnoliopsida; Brassicales; Brassicaceae.
UAUGCACGGCUGUUCUGCGUAUAUUAAGAUGAAACCUGAAAUCGAAACUUUCAUCAGCUAGUAUCGCUUUAAAGCCUAAAUCUUUCCCUUUGUUCCUGCAGUGCAAGACCAUUCCUUCACGUGUGACCAAUUUGUUAGUGAUCAUAACAUGUUUAGGUAAGAAUGGCACAUCUCCAUUGACAGAGUGUUCAAGUGAUAAAGAAGUUCUUAAAAUAAUUAGAUAUGUUAUUAACACGAAAAUGAGGUGACGGUUUGUUAAGGAUACCAUGGAUGCCUUUUACUGGUUUG